Molecule: RNA transcript, 2998 nt
Organism: Ceratina calcarata
Lineage: Eukaryota; Metazoa; Arthropoda; Insecta; Hymenoptera; Apidae
Exons: 8
Source: RefSeq, a predicted model, not a curated record
UACUGUGAGACGGUCAGUGAAAGUUACCGAGCGCUUCAAGAAUCGUACUUGAAGUUCCAUAUUUUCCAGUUCAUAACGGUGAUAACGCAUCAUUACACAAUGUCGGAGUAUAUAAAACGCAUAUUACCUUUAACGAUAGCGGUUGCAUGUUUCUUUAAAUACUUGACGUUCUUAAUUAAUAUGGAAUCAGUGAGUUAAAACUAUCAAUAUUUAUUCGUUUAAAUUCUGGUAGAACUUGAUACAUUAACAAAUUAAUAAGUUCAGAUCUGCAAAAUGUCUCGUGAUAUCAGUUACGAUUGGAUUACGGUUGAGAACGACGAGGAACUUACAAUUCUGACAAAAUACACCUAUAGGGGUUACCAUUUUGGGAAAACGUUUGCAUAUAUAAUAUGGAUCCCUACAUUUCUCGUGAUGAUUGCUCACUUCUCUGCAGAGAUUCUUGACUUUUUCAUACCGCUUAACGCGUCGCGACCCCACACUUACCCGUUUGAUAUAGACUAUCCCGUCGAUCAAGAGAAAUACUUCUAUCCAUACGCGAUCUACGUAGAUUUCUCAAUAUUCGUAAUUGCUACCACGUUCGUUGGUACAGAAGCGCUAACCGCGAUGCAUUUACAUCAUAUUAUCAGUUUGUUGAAAAUCAUAAGUUAUCGUAUCGAAAAAGCGAUUUCUGACUCAACGAAUGAAUCGCAGAAAUGUUUAGCUGAUAAAGGGAAAGAGGGUCUCAUCAAAGUCAUCGUUUUGCACACACGAGUGAUCAAGUUCAUUAACCUUAUGGAGAAACACUUCACGGUUUCGUACGCUGUGCUUCUUAUCUGUGGCGUCAUUGCUCUAAGCGUUAAUCUAUAUUGGCUGUCAUUGUCGAUACAUAGAAUGGGUGAUCAAAUGCUUAUUUCUUCGUCCAUCAUUCUGGUCAUCUCUAUUUACAUGUUCUAUAUGAAUUAUUUAAUACAAGAUGUAAACGAUGGCAGAGACGAUAUUUUUAAAGCUUUAUACAACAGCGAAUGGUACAGAACGCCAGUAACUAUGCAAAAGUUGUUACUGUUCAUAAUGUUGAAAACAUUAAAAGGUGAAAUCUUCAAUCUGCUGAUUGUGUUCACACCAUCAUUCGAAGUUAGUAAAUACGUCACUAUCCUAUUUCAUGGUGAUGUACUCCACCCAGUGAUAUCGUUAUGGAGUGAUACUGGAUUAGCCGUCAUAGGAAGUUUGUUGAUAGUCAAAUCAUUUUCAUUGUUCUGCGAUGUAGGACUCUUUUUAAUGCACUGCUCAAUAAACGAUUAUUUGUGAGGAAACCAGUCUGAAUUGAAUGUUAUAAAUUGGAAUUACCUCGCAAGCACUUCACCUCUUUGACACGUAUCAUUCUCAUUGUACACAUCCGCACGCUUCAUACGCACAGAGUUGAUCGAAGGCUGCUCGAGAAACAAUUUCACCGGACCAAAGAGCCGAUGGUGGUUAAAAAUUCGUGAAAAAAAUACAUUUCUGCAACCUAUAAUCACUUUAAUAACUACGAUUUUGCGAAUGUGAGGUAACAGAUCAAUCGUGUUCACCUUUUUCGGUAUCUAUUAUACCUCCACCGAAGAUUUCGCAGAGUUUUUGCGAUUGACAGCUUCCUAUUUGAUGAUAUUUUUACACCAGUAGAAGAACAGUUUACAGAUGGAUAUCAUCUACAGAUAAUUUUAUACGAGUAAGAAGUAAAUAUUCCCGAAUCAUAAAAUAAUAUUCAAUCAUAUUUUAGUGAAUUUUCUGUUCAGAAAUUGAAAACAGACGUGGAGAUAUCUAAUCAACUAGAUUUCUUGUACAAAUUUCUUGUACACAUGUACAUAGGAUACUAAAAACAGGAGGAUGAAAUAGACCACUCGGCUCAAAGCACAGCGAAGUGAAUAGAACCUUGGAAAAAGUACACGAACUUCCUACAAAGUAGUAUUAGUUAAUAACGGAUUGCUGGAAGAAAAUGCUGGAAAAACGUGAGAGAAUAAGAAGCCAGGGGGGGUAAAUAAGAAUUUAUACUAUGGAAGGUAGACUGCAGCAUGUAUAUUGUAUAAACAUAGAUUGUUGCUAGCCUUUUGCACUGCAACAUACAAUUACCAUAAUCGGUCCCCCACCGUAGAAAUUAUAACCGCUAUCUAUUGAACGUCGCGACAUAACAUUUUUUUCAUCGCCACGAUUCUCGGGAAUGUGGGAAAUAUUUGAAAAAAAUGAGAGAAAUCGUAAGAAUUCUAUUAGCCAUGAGUUCGGUCUCGCAGUUGCGUUCGAACCCCCCGUACAAUCGCUCAGAUACAUAUUCCAUCGUAUGUACAUCCGAAUAAAUGAAUUAUAAUAUCGACGCAUCAGUGUUUGUUGCUGCUUUCACAUGAUCUUCACAAUUAGAAAUCUGCACUCUGGUAUGUGAUACACAAAACUAAUUCCAUUUUUACUGAGCAACAUAAACCAUUGGACACUCGAAUGCACCCGACCAUUAUUAUUCUGAAUAAAAAAGGACUCGAGAAAAUUGACUAAUCUAAAUAAUUCUAUCGAUUAAUCAUUUGAAAAUUCCGUCACGGACUCUAGAGAACGUCGACUUCGUUUAUGGGGUUAAUGUCACGAAUCAAUAACUCCUUACGGAUUACACGGAGAGGGUGACCGUCUCCGAGGGUUAUAGAUAUUGAUCGUAUUCAUGAAUAACCGGGUUUGUAAGUACGACGACGUCGGCCCGAUCGAACUCCCGCAACAGGUGGUUCAGUUGUGACAGCCGUUCGUUCAUAACUAAGCGUUCUAUCAACUUAAGUACUCUAGACUGUUUUCCAAUGGUUUAUUUUCACGCUCCCUUAAAGACAAAUGGAACACCAAUUAUCCAACCGUAAGACUCUAUACACGUGUCAUAAGAAUACACUUUGUAUAAAAUUUAUUUUAUACUAGACAUGUUCUAUAUUUUUAGUCAUGCAUGUAUUCGCAGUUUUAAUAAAUAUUGUAAGUCACUCGAUGUUGAAUUUAUAUAUGCGCGAUAAACGUUAUAAAUGAGCAA